CAAUAACAGGUCUGUGAUGCCCUUAGAUGUCUGGGCCGCACGCGCGCUACACUGAUGCGAUCAACGAGCCUAGCCUUGGCCGAGAGGUCCGGGUAAUCUUGCAAACCGCAUCGUGAUGGGGAUAGAUUAUUGCAAUUAUUAAUCUUCAACGAGGAAUGCCUAGUAAGCGCGAGUCAUCAGCUCGCGUUGAUUACGUCCCUGCCCUUUGUACACACCGCCCGUCGCUCCUACCGAUUGGGUGUGCUGGUGAAGCGUUCGGUUUGGUGGCUCCAAGCGGUUCGCCGCCGGGGGCAACCGAGAAGUUCGUUAAACCCUCCCACCUAGAGGAAGGAGAAGUCGUAACAAGGUUUCCGUAGGUGAACCUGCGGAAGGAUC
Molecule: ribosomal RNA, 375 nt
Filed under: Elliptochloris marina
Lineage: Eukaryota; Viridiplantae; Chlorophyta; Trebouxiophyceae
Description: SSU rRNA
Rfam family: Eukaryotic small subunit ribosomal RNA
Source: RNAcentral